AUUCUCGCCCGUCCACUCCCAGCGUAAAGAGGAUUCCGCGACUCGGAGACCGCAAUCUACCCGCCAGUCUCCAUAACGUAGGCCAGAGCAGCUGGGCUAAAUAAAACAGAGCCGGGGCUCUCCCUUCCCGAAGGCCUACAUCGCCCACUGGUCCGGGCUCGGAGCUCAGCAGAACCAGAGUAGGAGCGGUUGUUGCCGGCACGGAGGAGGUAGGUACCACACCAGACGGUAGGCCAGGAAACCGCAGGCCCCUGCCGGGCACAGGAAGGCAUCUGUGAGAUUUCUUCUCACUGCCACACCCUAGUGUUGUGGGGCGAGCAUAAUCCCUUUUGCCUGCUGUGCGACCAGCCCCAGGCCGGCCAAGGGGGCUUGGAACCGGGACCCCCACUGCCUCCGCCUCCUUACCAGUGUGAUCCAUGAUUCGGCUCGCAGAGCACAGUGGGAGCGGAAGUCAACCGCGCCGGAGUCGCAGCGAGCGCGUGCGCACUGCCUUCCGGAGGCCGGGAGGCGGAAGUCCAAGCAGGUUGUCCCAAUUUUGGCCUGCAAAGACUUCCUUCUCUCGCCUCUACUAUCCAACUCCUGUGAGGGACUCAGGCAUAGUUCGGGCGGAGGCAGAAAGAGCGAGCGCGCGAAGAACUUCGGUAUUGAGGGAGAGCGCUUGUGACGCUACGAACCUCUCGAACACCUGACGACUGGGCGCCAGGGCCGGAUGGAGGGUGGAGAGCCAGUGCGGCGCAGCUGCCUCCUCUUAACGGGGACACCUUGCAGGAAUGUGCGGAGUGGAGCUAACGGGAGCGGAUAGAAACCGAGGGAGGGGAAGAGAGCGCGAAGGCUUGGCCGGAAGGAGAGGUUAAAAAGGAAAGGCCUAAAAUGAGGAAGAGAGUUACCACAACAAGCAGUACCUAGUUCCAGUUCUUGGUCCCAGGAGUUUGUGGUUGUUGCUGCUUUCAUCUUCCUCAGCCAACACAAAAGGAAAGUGCCAAGGGGCGAUUCCUAGGACCUUCAGUGCAGUCUCCACCUUGCGGACUUGGCUCAUUUGUGUCCACUCCUUUCUCCAGCCUUUUACACUUGAUGCUCUUGGAUGAAUAGAAAGGAGCACAAUUAAUGGAAAACACAAGCUUGGGAGUCAAGGGAUUUGGGUUCUAUUCUUGUCCUCCCUUGGUGACGACAUCAUUACCUUGGGUUAUUCAAGCUUUCAGUGCCAGAGUUCCUAUAUCAAUAAAAGAUUAUUACAUUGACCUCUUAGAGAAAUGUUUUCAUGGUACUGAAUUGCAAAUAAAGUAUGUGUAGCGAUGUGUUAUAUCUUUGUAGUUGUACGGUAUUAUUUGUGAAUCAUGCUGUGAUGAUCAGUGCGAUUUAAGUGCACCAUGUUAUUUGGUGAUUAUUUUCCUGAGAUCUUGUAAAAGAUUUUUCUGCUCUAUAUAUGCAGCUUUAUAAACAAGUUUUUAGGUACAUUCACAACUAAGGACAUUUGUGAAUCAAAAUUACCCCUGCUUUUUUUAAAUGUAAAGUUCUGUAUUGCUAGGUGGUUUUCAAGAUGCUUUCAGUUUCUGGGAUUAUUGUUUUGGGCAUUGGGGCUUGCCUAACCUUUUUCCCAUACCUCCCUAUUUUUCUAAAUACAGUGUUGAUAUAGUCAGGCAUUUUUCACCAAUUUGGGUUUUUUUUUUUUUUUUAAGUUUUCACUUAGAAAGUACUUCUUUUUCAUAUUAAAAAAAUUUUUUUUAGAGAUGGGGCAGCCCAAACUGGAACACAAUGGCAGAAUCAUAGCUCACUGCAUCCUUGGACUCCCGGGCUCAAGGGGUCCUUAUGCCUCAGCCUCCGGAGUAGUUGGGACUACAGAUGCUCAUCACCACCACUGGCUUUGAUUUUUUUGUUCUAUCAUACUUAGCCUAUCAGCUAACGGUUAACCUUCAGAUUCAUGGAAAUCCAGGUUCAGAAUAGUAUUAUUAAUGUCUGCUGAUGCUAAUAUUUAAAUAAUUAGAAUUAAAAAGAGCUUUCAAAUUGUAUUUUAUAUAAUUUAACCUGUAAGUUAGAAGUUUUGUUGGCAUUUUAUGGUGCAUCAAGAAAAUUUACUGAGAGAAGAUGUACUUACUUUAGAUCUGAUAAAAUGUUAAACAUUUGUUUGAUUUGAUUUGACAUCUCUUACUUUCAGGCAUUGCUUUAGCAUCUGUGGUCUGUAUUUACCCCCUUAAUUGUGGUUGCCUUGAAUUACCAAUGCAGUAGCAGUGUGAUAAAUUAAUUUCUUUACCUAUGUUUUAUUACUGCCCUCUAGUAUCUCUUUUCAGCGACCAGCGUGCUGUAACCAGUCACAAUUUCUUUAUCAAGAGUUGCCAUUAAUAUUUAUUUAUAGAGCAUAAGGUUUAUAUUGCUUAUAUAUAAGCUAUAUAUAGUUUAGGUGCUGACCUAAGGUUUAUAAAAGUGAAAACUUACUGUAAUGGGCAGUCUGAAGCACUGAGGUGCACCUUUUUAUCUUACUGGCAAGACCAUCUACUACCUAUGAAUUAUAAGGUAGUGGUCUCCAAGAUGUUUUGAUAGCCUCCCAUUUACAUAGUUACUGUUUAUGCUAUGAGAAAAGUAAGAGGGGUAUCAGAGAGCUUGUUUUCCCCAAUAGCCUGUUACGGACUCCUCAGUACCAAGUAAGGACAAAAACCUUCAUCUCCUAACACUCUUUCAACUGUAUCCCACUGAGUGCCUGCCUAGGACUGCAUAAGGCAAAAGCUGUAUAAAUAAUGGCCCCUACUUCAAGGAUCCUACAGGAUAUCAUUUUAAGAAAUAUGUGAAGAUCUAUAUAAUUUAGUUCUAAGUGUUGAGAGGAAAUUCAGUGCUACUUACAUUUAGAUAAAGUAGUGGGACUGAGAGUAGUUAGGUUAGCUUUAUGGAGGGAUUUAAGCUGAGCCUUAUGUGAAUGGAUAAAAUUUGGAGAGGAGGAGAGCAAUAAAAGGCAUAUCACACAGAGAAAAGCAAGGGCACAGAUGUGAGAAUUGUAUGGUUUCUAUAGAGGACAGUGAAGAGCUUUAUUUGUACUGUUGAUCCAUGUUUGGGAGUUCUAAAAAAAUAAGUUAUUAUGGAGCACCUUGAAAAAGUAAGAUUUCAGAGUAACAGUAAAGAAAUAGAGCAUUUAACAAAACCCAGCAUAAUAUAUUCAUAGAAACAAUAUAAUCCAGCAAAAUAUAUUCAAAAACAAUGAGCAAAUCUUAACUUGGGGUGGGGAGAUGAAUCAGUUGAUGAACAAUCAGUCAGAAUUAAAGUGUAAUACUAUUACACCUAGACCAAGAACAAUUGACCAGGAAGCCAGCGAUACCUAUGAUAGCCAAAAUGCCAUGAAGUAUGAAUGAAUUGUUAGUAAAAAAAAAAAAACGGAUCCAGGUAGUGUCCAGUAUAUAUUAAUACGUUUGAUAAGCAGAAAUGGAAAAGGCAGUAAAAUAUCCUGGUUAGAUAUAUGCCUUAUCAAGCUAUGGCAGCCAGCUUUUCAAACACCAUGAAAAACUGGGCAAGAGGCAGAUUCAGAGAAUAAGAGGGAAAUAGACUGUAAAAACAGAAUGUUGCUGAUUGAAGGCAUUGUCCCGUUCCUGUCUCGAAGGAGAUUCAUUCUCGUUGAGGCCUGGCAAUAUAUGUACUCAUUUGAAAAGGAACCUUUUGAUCUAGAGAGGUCCUGCAGCCUUCCUUCUUUUCUGAGAAGGAAAAUUUUGUUGUGGAUAUCCUUUGAGCUGGAUAGACCUGUCCCUCCCUACAGCUUCUUUGCUAAUAUAAUUGCCUCCAGUUCACUCCUAAAAGAAUGCUUAGGGUAUUAAACUGCUCUGUAGUAAGCAAUUAGUCUGUAUAUUGUUUCCUAAACUUAAGAAGGCUUUUGUUCAAGGGCCCCUGACCCUAACCUCAGCUGCCACUCCAUGCCAGUUGAAAAAGGCUUUCAGCCUUCCUUGGUGCUAUGGUUUGAAUGAAGGUAUUCCUCCAAAAUUCAUAUGUUGGAACUUAAACCCCAAGGUGGUGAUAUUAAGAGGUGGGGCCUUUUGGGAAGUGAUUUAGCUGUGAGGGCUUUGCUGUCAUGAAUGGUAUUGCCGUUAGAGUCCUCAGAGAGCUGCCUGUGAGCCAUGUGAGGACAGAGCAUUCAUCCCUUCCAGUAUAUAAGCAACAGGGUGCUCAUCUCGGAAGCAGAGAACCCUCACAAGACACUAAAUCUGCUGACACCUUGAUCAUGGACUUCCCAGCCUCCAGAACUGUAAG
RNAcentral lists this long non-coding RNA (4221 nucleotides) under Homo sapiens (human). Its description in RNAcentral is "non-protein coding lnc-SLC26A3-1:10". Lineage: Eukaryota; Metazoa; Chordata; Mammalia; Primates; Hominidae. The record is from RNAcentral.